RNAcentral lists this microRNA precursor (118 nucleotides) under Poecilia formosa (Amazon molly). Its description in RNAcentral is "miRNA (ENSPFOG00000021025.1)". The stretch from base 23 to 101 matches the Rfam family "mir-30 microRNA precursor family". From Rfam's summary of the family: This family consists of the mammalian microRNA (miRNA) precursor mir-30a. Animal miRNAs are transcribed as ~70nt precursors and subsequently processed by the Dicer enzyme to give a ~22nt product. The record is from RNAcentral. Lineage: Eukaryota; Metazoa; Chordata; Actinopteri; Cyprinodontiformes; Poeciliidae.
GAGUGGCCAUCUCUGUCGGCACCGCGGCGCUGUAAACAUCCUUGACUGGAAGCUGGACUUUUGACAGCGAGGGCUUUCAGUCGGAUGUUUGCAGCUUCUUACUGCCACAAACGGCCAG